This is a long non-coding RNA of Arachis stenosperma, 695 nucleotides long. RefSeq lists it as uncharacterized. The record is from RefSeq and is a predicted model, not a curated record. The transcript is spliced from 3 exons. Lineage: Eukaryota; Viridiplantae; Streptophyta; Magnoliopsida; Fabales; Fabaceae.
GAGAAGCUCGGGAGAAGAGAGGGAGAAGUGAGAGCCAUGCCCUAAGUUACUUUCAAUCCAUAAAACUUUCAAAUUGUGGUUCCAAUCAACAACUCGUUUGUGACUACGCGGGAAGUUUCAUCUCAAGUUAGAGCAAAAUUUUGACCCAAAGUUACGUGAAAUAAGGUGAGGGCAUGCCACGCUCUAUGCAGAAGACCAGGCCUAGCGUGCAACAAAGCAGGGAAGCAUGCCACGCUUGAGGAGAAGUCCAAGCUCUAGGAGUAACUAAAGCAGAGGCAUUACACGCCUUGAAGAGGGCGUGCCACGCCUUAGGGUCAGCCCAAGGAGCACAUGUCACGCUGCUAGUAGACGUGCCACGUCUAGCCCAAAGAAAACAAGCCUAGUGCAACUCUAGUGAUGUUCUCUUCAAAGCCCAACCUCAAAGAUGUGAUUAUGAAUUGAAGAUUAAAGAAGAUUAUGUAAUAAUUAGAUUUAAAUUUUAUUUAAUUUUGUUAUGAUUAUGUUUUUAGAAUUUGAAUUAGGAGCUAUCUUAAUUAUUUUGAUUAAGAUUAAAUUUAGUUUUUGAAUUUAAAUUGGAAGAAACCCUAGGAUAUAAAUAAGUGAACAUUGUUCACAAGGAAAGACAUCCAGGGGAGGAUCUUUGGAUCCCUCACAUGCCUCUUUUCUUCUUUUCUUUUGCUUGUUUUUCAAUUCAC